UUGUUACUCCCUCCGUUCCGAAUUACUUGUCGCACGUAUGGAUGUAUCUAGAUGUAUUUUAGUUCUAGAUACAUCCAUUUGAACGACGAGUAAUUUGGAACGGAGGGAGUAGAUA
Molecule: non-coding RNA, 115 nt
Organism: Triticum aestivum (bread wheat)
Lineage: Eukaryota; Viridiplantae; Streptophyta; Magnoliopsida; Poales; Poaceae
Source: Rfam